Molecule: unclassified non-coding RNA, 1005 nt
Filed under: Homo sapiens (human)
Lineage: Eukaryota; Metazoa; Chordata; Mammalia; Primates; Hominidae
Description: leukocyte immunoglobulin like receptor B5 (ENSG00000277414.4)
Source: RNAcentral
UUUUUGUGUCCUGCCAGGCACCGUGGUCUCAUCCGCCUGCACAGCUGAGUCCAGUGGGAGCUGACGCCAUGACCCUCACCCUCUCAGUCCUGAUUUGCCUCGGGCUGAGUGUGGGCCCCAGGACCUGCGUGCAGGCAGGCACCCUCCCCAAACCCACCCUCUGGGCUGAGCCAGCCUCUGUGAUAGCUCGGGGGAAGCCCGUGACCCUCUGGUGUCAGGGGCCCCUGGAGACUGAGGAGUACCGUCUGGAUAAGGAGGGACUCCCAUGGGCCCGGAAGAGACAGAACCCACUGGAGCCUGGAGCCAAGGCCAAGUUCCACAUUCCAUCCACGGUGUAUGACAGUGCAGGGCGAUACCGCUGCUACUAUGAGACCCCUGCAGGCUGGUCAGAGCCCAGUGACCCCCUGGAGCUGGUGGCGACAGGCGUGUCUAGGAAGCCCUCCCUCCUGAUCCCGCAGGGCUCUGUCGUGGCCCGCGGAGGCAGCCUGACCCUGCAGUGUCGCUCUGAUGUCGGCUAUGACAUAUUCGUUCUGUACAAGGAGGGGGAACAUGACCUCGUCCAGGGCUCUGGCCAGCAGCCCCAGGCUGGGCUCUCCCAGGCCAACUUCACCCUGGGCCCUGUGAGCCGCUCCCACGGGGGCCAGUACAGAUGCUACGGUGCACACAACCUCUCCCCUAGGUGGUCGGCCCCCAGCGACCCCCUGGACAUCCUGAUCGCAGGACUGAUCCCUGACAUACCCGCCCUCUCGGUGCAGCCGGGCCCCAAGGUGGCCUCAGGAGAGAACGUGACCCUGCUGUGUCAGUCAUGGCAUCAGAUAGACACUUUCUUUUUGACCAAGGAGGGGGCAGCCCAUCCCCCGCUGUGUCUAAAGUCAAAGUACCAGUCUUAUAGACACCAGGCUGAAUUCUCCAUGAGUCCUGUGACCUCAGCCCAGGGUGGAACCUACCGAUGCUACAGCGCAAUCAGGUCCUACCCCUACCUGCUGUCCAGCCCUAGUUACCCCC